This is a long non-coding RNA of Cyprinus carpio (common carp), 1113 nucleotides long. The record is from Ensembl. Lineage: Eukaryota; Metazoa; Chordata; Actinopteri; Cypriniformes; Cyprinidae.
GCCAGGGAAAUUUUGGCUGGCGGAGAUCAUACAUAUGCUGUAUGCAGAGCCAUGGUCCCUGCCACUGCGCAGGGAUCUGCUGUCACAGGUGGGGGGGGGGGGAUAUUUCAUCCUCAUCCAGAAUGCCUGGCACUGUGGGCCUGGCCAGUGAGUGGCUAAAUAUGAAUGCCGCUGGUCUGCCAGACAGGGUCAUCAGAACUAUACAGAAUUCCAGGGCCCUGUCCACUCGGUCACUCUAUGAAUGUAAAUGGGGCGUGUUUGAGCGUUGGUGUGCGGCUAGACAUGUAAUCCCCUUUCAGUAUUCAGUGGCAGUUAUCCUAUCGUUUCUGCAGGAUAUGAUAGAUCAGGGUAAGGCAUUCUCAACAAUAAAGGUGUUUCUUGCCGCAAUAUCUGCCUGUCAUGUAGGUUUUGAUAACAAAACUGUGGGGCAGCACCCUUUGGUAUGCCGGUUUAUGAAGGGUGCGCGUCGCGCUUUGCCAGUUUCAAAACCGAUCUCUCCGUCAUGGGAUCUGGUUCUGGUGCUUGAUGCACUUUCUGUGUCUCCAUUUGAGCCACUGGACAAAGCUUACCUGAAAUUAUUGUCGUUUAAGACGGCGCUGCUGUUAGCUUUGGCUUCAGCGAAGCGCGUAAGUGAAAUUCACGCACUUUCUGUGAAUUCAGCGUGUACGCAAUUUAUGCCAGGGGACGCAGGGGUGCUUUUGAAACCUAAUCCUGUUUUUAUGCCCAAGGUGGUCAAUUCUAUUGUUCCUCUCAAGUUAAGAGGCUUAAACCCACCGCCUUUUGCUUCAGCAGAACAGCAAAGGCUUGAAUACGUUAUGUCCGGUGCGUGCUUUGUGCAUUUACACUGAGAGGACUAAAGGGUUCAGAGAGAGUGAGCAGCUGUUUGUGUCUUGGGCGAAGCCACGUAUAGGGAAGCCGAUUACUAAACAGCGUUUAUCCCACUGGAUAGUGGAGGCAAGGAGUUAGGACAUCCCAUAGUGAGACACCAAAACGUAUGCUUGAAAGAGAACAAUAGGUUACUUGCGUAACCCCGGUUCCCUGAUAGCAUUAAGUGAGGUGUCUCACUACUGGAUACGCCCCUUCCGCGUAUUCCUCAGAAGCCCAAUACCAUUA